UCAAACUUGGUCAUUUAGAGGAAGUAAAAGUCGUAACAAGGUCUCCGUUGGUGAACCAGCGGAGGGAUCAUUAUAGAGUUAUUCAACUCCCAACCCAUGUGAACUUACCAUUGUUGCCUCGGCGGGCUUACCCGGAGGGACGUACCCGGAGCUUGUUACCCUGUAACGAGCUACCCGGAACGUCCUACCCGGAGCGGCCCGCCGGUGGAUUUCAAACUCUGUUAUUUUUAUGAAUCUGAGCGUCUUAUUCAAUAAGUCAAAACUUUCAACAACGGAUCUCUUGGUUCUGGCAUCGAUGAAGAACGCAGC
RNAcentral lists this unclassified non-coding RNA (309 nucleotides) under uncultured fungus. Its description in RNAcentral is "partial contains small subunit ribosomal RNA, internal transcribed spacer 1, and 5.8S ribosomal RNA". The stretch from base 1 to 73 matches the Rfam family "Eukaryotic small subunit ribosomal RNA", at positions 1759 to 1831 of the family's 1831-position model. The record is from RNAcentral. Lineage: Eukaryota; Fungi.